UCUUAAACCUCGGGGUGCCUUACUAUCAGGCUGAGAUCAAACCCGCAGAACCUCGACCGGAUAAUGCCGGUUAGGAAAGGUAAGCCAUUGGUUC
This 94-nucleotide non-coding RNA is filed under the name Pedobacter antarcticus. RNAcentral's name for it is "Sphingobacterium antarcticus TPP sequence". It matches the Rfam family "TPP riboswitch aptamer (THI element)". Rfam says of the family: Vitamin B(1) in its active form thiamin pyrophosphate (TPP) is an essential coenzyme that is synthesised by coupling of pyrimidine and thiazole moieties in bacteria. The previously detected thiamin-regulatory element, thi box was extended, resulting in a new, highly conserved RNA secondary structure, the THI element, which is widely distributed in eubacteria and also occurs in some archaea. RNAcentral also lists the same sequence under 1 other name. Lineage: Bacteria; Pseudomonadati; Bacteroidota; Sphingobacteriia; Sphingobacteriales; Sphingobacteriaceae. The record is from RNAcentral.